RNAcentral lists this ribosomal RNA (699 nucleotides) under uncultured Flavobacteriales bacterium. RNAcentral's name for it is "bacterial SSU rRNA". It matches the Rfam family "Bacterial small subunit ribosomal RNA", at positions 61 to 761 of the family's 1533-position model. The record is from RNAcentral. Lineage: Bacteria; Pseudomonadati; Bacteroidota; Flavobacteriia; Flavobacteriales.
GCCGAGCGGUAUUAUUCUUCGGAAUAGAGAGAGCGGCGUACGGGUGCGGAACACGUGUGCAACCUGCCUUUAUCAGGGGGAUAGCCUUUCGAAAGGAAGAUUAAUACCCCAUAAUAUAUUAAGUGGCAUCAUUUGAUAUUGAAAACUCCGGUGGAUAGAGAUGGGCACGCGCAAGAUUAGAUAGUUGGUAGGGUAACGGCCUACCAAGUCAGUGAUCUUUAGGGGGCCUGAGAGGGUGAUCCCCCACACUGGUACUGAGACACGGACCAGACUCCUACGGGAGGCAGCAGUGAGGAAUAUUGGACAAUGGGUGAGAGCCUGAUCCAGCCAUCCCGCGUGAAGGACGACGGCCCUAUGGGUUGUAAACUUCUUUUGUAUAGGGAUAAACCUUUCCACGUGUGGAAAGCUGAAGGUACUAUACGAAUAAGCACCGGCUAACUCCGUGCCAGCAGCCGCGGUAAUACGGAGGGUGCAAGCGUUAUCCGGAUUUAUUGGGUUUAAAGGGUCCGUAGGCGGAUCUGUAAGUCAGUGGUGAAAUCUCAUAGCUUAACUAUGAAACUGCCAUCGAUACUGCAGGUCUUGAGUAAAGUAGAAGUGGCUGGAAUAAGUAGUGUAGCGGUGAAAUGCAUAGAUAUUACUUAGAACACCAAUUGCGAAGGCAGGUCACUAUGUUUUAACUGACGCUGAUGGACGAAAGCG